ACGCUGGCGGCACGCCUUAUACAUGCAAGUCGAACGAAGUAGCAAUACUUAGUGGCAGACGGGUGAGUAACAUGUAGGUAUCUUCCCUUUGGUGAGGAAUAACACGAGGAAACUUGUGCUAAUACCUCAUAAGUCUUUACGGAGAAAGCUUUAUGCGCCGAAGGAUGAGCCUGCAUUUGAUUAGUUUGUUGGUGGGGUAAUGGCCUACCAAGACUUUGAUCAAUAGCUGAUCUGAGAGGAUGAUCAGCCACAUUGGGACUGAGACACGGCCCAAACUCCUACGGGAGGCAGCAGUAGGGAAUAUUGCACAAUGGAGGAAACUCUGAUGCAGCGAUGCCGCGUGAGUGAAGAAGGCCCUUGGGUUGUAAAGCUCUUUCGUCGGGGAAGAAAAUGACUGUACCCGAAUAAGAAGGUCCGGCUAACUUCGUGCCAGCAGCCGCGGUAAUACGAAGGGACCUAGCGUAGUUCGGAAUUACUGGGCUUAAAGAGUUCGUAGGUGGUUAAAAAAGUUGGUGGUGAAAUCCCAGAGCUUAACUCUGGAACUGCCAUCAAAACUUUUUAGCUAGAGUGUGAUAGAGGAAAGCAGAAUUUCUAGUGUAGAGGUGAAAUUCGUAGAUAUUAGAAAGAAUACCAAUUGCGAAGGCAGCUUUCUGGAUCAUUACUGACACUGAGGAACGAAAGCAUGGGUAGCGAAGAGGAUUAGAUACCCUCGUAGUCCAUGCCGUAAACGAUGUGUGUUAGACGUUGGAAAUUUAUUUUCAGUGUCGCAGCGAAAGCAUUAAACACACCGCCUGGGGAGUACGACCGCA
This 809-nucleotide ribosomal RNA is filed under the name uncultured Pelagibacteraceae bacterium. RNAcentral's name for it is "bacterial SSU rRNA". It matches the Rfam family "Bacterial small subunit ribosomal RNA", at positions 33 to 890 of the family's 1533-position model. The record is from RNAcentral. Lineage: Bacteria; Pseudomonadati; Pseudomonadota; Alphaproteobacteria; Candidatus Pelagibacterales; Candidatus Pelagibacteraceae.